Molecule: unclassified non-coding RNA, 345 nt
Filed under: soil metagenome
Description: partial contains 5.8S ribosomal RNA, internal transcribed spacer 2, and large subunit ribosomal RNA
Rfam family: 5.8S ribosomal RNA (bases 1-120)
Source: RNAcentral
GAUGAAGAACGCAGCGAAAUGCGAUACGUUAUGUGAAUUGCAGAAUUCAGUGAAUCAUCGAGUCUUUGAACGCACAUUGCGCCCCCUGGUAUUCCGGGGGGCAUGCCUGUCCGAGCGUCAUUGCUGCCCUCAAGCACGGCUUGUGUGUUGGGCCUCCGUCCUCCUCCCGGGGGACGGGCCCGAAAGGCAGCGGCGGCACCGCGUCCGGUCCUCGAGCGUAUGGGGCUUCGUCACCCGCUCUUGUAGGCCCGGCCGGCGCUUGCCGACACAUCAAUCUUUUUUCCAGGUUGACCUCGGAUCAGGUAGGGAUACCCGCUGAACUUAAGCAUAUCAAUAAGCGGAGGA